RNAcentral lists this ribosomal RNA (404 nucleotides) under uncultured bacterium. RNAcentral describes it as "partial 16S ribosomal RNA". It matches the Rfam family "Bacterial small subunit ribosomal RNA", at positions 28 to 526 of the family's 1533-position model. The record is from RNAcentral.
GAUGAACGCUGACAGCAUGCUUAACACAUGCAAGUCCACUGUGGUGGACGGGUGAGUAACGCGUAAAGAACUGGCCUCACGGAUUGGGCCACCAUUUGGAAACGAAUGCUCAUACCUGAUACUUGGAGCGAGAUUUGCGUCCCCUUAGCUCGUUGGCGAGGUUACGGCUCACCAAGGCGAUGAUGGGUAGCCGGCCUGCGAGGGUGAUCGGCCACACGGUGACGGAGACACGGCCCUUACUCCUACGGGAGGCAGCAGUGGGGAAUAUUGGACAAUGGACCAAAGUCUCAUCCAGCAAGUCUGUGUUCACGAUGAAGUUUUCGGAAUGUAAAGUGCUUUCAGGUGGGAAGCGGUACUAACAGAAGAAGUGCCGGCUAAAUACGUGCCAGCAGCCGCGGUAAUUC